Molecule: non-coding RNA, 178 nt
Filed under: Rummeliibacillus stabekisii
Lineage: Bacteria; Bacillati; Bacillota; Bacilli; Caryophanales; Caryophanaceae
Source: RNAcentral
ACAUACGUGUCAUGAACUGGUGUAUACGAAGGUAUACUUAAAAGGGAAGCUGGUGCAAGUCCGGCACUGUCCCGCAACUGUAAUUUGGAGCCUAUAUUUUAAAGCCACUGUGAAUAACGGGAAGGCAUAGAGGGCGUUGAAGAUAAGUCAGGAGACCUGCCAUGAUUCAAGUACACAC